RNAcentral lists this unclassified non-coding RNA (24 nucleotides) under Mus musculus (house mouse). RNAcentral describes it as "oocyte_clustered_small_RNA2686". The record is from RNAcentral. Lineage: Eukaryota; Metazoa; Chordata; Mammalia; Rodentia; Muridae.
CGAGAGAAAGAAAUGUAACCAAGA